Molecule: ribosomal RNA, 497 nt
Filed under: uncultured bacterium
Lineage: Bacteria
Description: partial 16S ribosomal RNA
Rfam family: Bacterial small subunit ribosomal RNA
Source: RNAcentral
GACGAACGCUGGCGGCGUGCCUAAUACAUGCAAGUAGAACGCUGAAGAGAGGAGCUUGCUCUUCUUGGAUGAGUUGCGAACGGGUGAGUAACGCGUAGGUAACCUGCCUUGUAGCGGGGGAUAACUAUUGGAAACGAUAGCUAAUACCGCAUAACAAUGGAUGACACAUGUCAUUUAUUUGAAAGGGGCAAUUGCUCCACUACAAGAUGGACCUGCGUUGUAUUAGCUAGUAGGUGAGGUAAUGGCUCACCUAGGCGACGAUACAUAGCCGACCUGAGAGGGUGAUCGGCCACACUGGGACUGAGACACGGCCCAGACUCCUACGGGAGGCAGCAGUAGGGAAUCUUCGGCAAUGGGGGCAACCCUGACCGAGCAACGCCGCGUGAGUGAAGAAGGGUUUCGGAUCGUAAAGGUCUGUUGUAAGUCAAGAACGGGUGUGAGAGUGGAAAGUUCACACUGUGACGGUAGCUUAACAGAAAGGGACGGCUAACUACGUG